AAAGGUCACUCCAACUGAGAGUGUUUACGGUUCUUCUACAUGUAAAUUACUCUAGGGGUUGAUUGUUUGCCUAUGGCAUACUUGUACUAAAAAAUAAUUUAUGAAUUAUAUACAUGUUCUUAGCAUUCUAAAAGUCAAGGCUGAAAAAUGAACUACGAUAAAAAAAACUCAAAAUAUACUUCAAAUUUAAUUUUAAAAGUUAAAUUUUGCAUAUAAGCAUAAAGCAUAAGCGAAAAGAUGGGUCUUUUGGAGACCGGAGAGUUCUAAG
This 268-nucleotide long non-coding RNA is filed under the name Oryza brachyantha (malo sina). RNAcentral's name for it is "long non-coding RNA (OBRA_LNC003292)". The record is from RNAcentral. Lineage: Eukaryota; Viridiplantae; Streptophyta; Magnoliopsida; Poales; Poaceae.